Molecule: ribosomal RNA, 740 nt
Filed under: uncultured bacterium
Lineage: Bacteria
Description: bacterial SSU rRNA
Rfam family: Bacterial small subunit ribosomal RNA
Source: RNAcentral
AGAGUUUGAUCAUGGCUCAGAGCGAACGCUGGCGGCAGGCUUAACACAUGCAAGUCGAGCGCCCCGCAAGGGGAGCGGCAGACGGGUGAGUAACACGUGGGAACGUGCCUUUUGGUUCGGAACAACCCAGGGAAACUUGGGCUAAUACCGGAUAAGUCCUUACGGGGAAAGAUUUAUCGCCAAAAGAUCGGCCCGCGUCUGAUUAGCUAGUUGGUGGGGUAAUGGCCCACCAAGGCUACGAUCAGUAGCUGGUCUGAGAGGAUGAUCAGCCACAUUGGGACUGAGACACGGCCCAAACUCCUACGGGAGGCAGCAGUGGGGAAUAUUGGACAAUGGGGGCAACCCUGAUCCAGCCAUGCCGCGUGAGUGAUGAAGGCCUUAGGGUUGUAAAGCUCUUUUAGCAGGGAAGAUAAUGACGGUACCUGCAGAAAAAGCCCCGGCUAACUUCGUGCCAGCAGCCGCGGUAAUACGAAGGGGGCUAGCGUUGCUCGGAAUCACUGGGCGUAAAGCGCACGUAGGCGGCUUCUUAAGUCAGGGGUGAAAUCCUGGAGCUCAACUCCAGAACUGCCUUUGAUACUGAGAAGCUUGAGUUCGGGAGAGGUGAGUGGAACUGCGAGUGUAGAGGUGAAAUUCGUAGAUAUUCGCAAGAACACCAGUGGCGAAGGCGGCUCACUGGCCCGAUACUGACGCUGAGGUGCGAAAGCGUGGGGAGCAAACAGGAUUAGAUACCCUAGUAGUCC